AGAGCGAACGCUGGCGGCAUGCUUAACACAUGCAAGUCUCACGGGCAGCAAUGUCAGUGGCGGACGGGUGAGUAACGCGUAGGUAUCUAUCCUUGGGUGGGGGAUAACGUUGGGAAACUGACGCUAAUACCGCAUGACACCUGUGGGUCAAAGGCGCGAGUCGCCUGGGGAGGAGCCUGCGUACGAUUAGCUUGUUGGUGGGGUAAAGGCCUACCAAGGCUACGAUCGUUAGCUGGUCUGAGAGGAUGAUCAGCCACACUGGGACUGAGACACGGCCCAGACUCCUACGGGAGGCAGCAGUGGGGAAUAUUGGACAAUGGGCGAAAGCCUGAUCCAGCAAUGCCGCGUGUGUGAAGAAGGUCUUCGGAUUGUAAAGCACUUUCGGCGGGACGAUGAUGACGGUACCCGCAGAAGAGCCCGGCUAACUUCGUGCCAGCAGCCGC
This 443-nucleotide ribosomal RNA is filed under the name uncultured bacterium. RNAcentral's name for it is "SSU rRNA". It matches the Rfam family "Bacterial small subunit ribosomal RNA", at positions 26 to 518 of the family's 1533-position model. The record is from RNAcentral.